Scleropages formosus (Asian bonytongue) is the source of this 1578-nucleotide long non-coding RNA. NCBI's taxonomy places the organism in Eukaryota, Metazoa, Chordata, Actinopteri, Osteoglossiformes, Osteoglossidae. The record is from Ensembl.
CGCCUGUGAUGGUAUCAUUUAAGGGUGUAAAAUGGCCGACUCUUUGUCCGACAGUGAUGGAGCCUAACGCGGUGUAAAACUCGCACUUCGCAUUUAUUUAGUUGGAAAAGCACGUCGCCUCACAGUGUGUUUGCGUUCUGUGCGUGCGUGCGUGCGUGCGUGCGCAUGUGUGUGUCUCGCAGUUACGUGCUGGCAGGUCCUGCUCGGCGCUGCGAUGUACUGUGAGAAGAACGCGUUUUCCCCCUCGGACAUCCUGCAGGAGAGCCGAACAAUGGUCCCUAAACGCGAUCCGGCCGCAGUUCAGCACCAGGCGCGGCGGACAGCGCUCUCGCGUCACCGCGGUUCCACCUGAGCGCGCGAGCGGCCGCGGGAUGCGGCGCGAGGCUGGACAGCUCCCCGUCCGCGAGCUCUCGCGUUCGCCACAUGAACGACACGGACGUCGCGACGGCCCACGGCGCGAGCGCAGCGCGGACACGAAGAACAUCUCUCUCACACCAACGCGUGUCGCUCUCAAAGACUGCAGACCAGAAGUAUUCGGGGUUGCAAUGCUUAGUUUUAUUGGAAAUAUAAUCAUUAUGAGCAGCAGGGCAUACAAAAAAAGGGGGUGUUAGAAUAUGUAUAAUAAUUUCUUCUCCUCUUGCGACGUUCCUCUAGUUUGCGCGGUUUAAUUAGAUCGCGUCGACGCGGAAACUAGGCUCCUCUCUUGGCAUUCACCGCGUGCCUUAAUUGUAUGACAUUAAAUCAAGGUCCGCUGUGAACACGGAGAGUCGGAGUCUGCGGUCAAAGCACAUCGCUGCGCAUCAGACACAGAAACACUUCUCCAUUCUCGAACAUCGGAGUCUGGUUACGGAGUCUCUCAAUGGAACGGACGCUGCUGGCCCUCGAUCCCCGGCCCCAGAGUCGACGGCGUGGAUAGGAACCCGGCAGUCACCGCUGACGGACCCACGCAACGCCGUCUCCCGUGGUCGCCGUUGCCACGCAUGCCAUCUCACAACAAAUCAGCGCCUCGGCUCACGGUGCAUGAUGGAGGAAGGAAGGAAGGAAGGAAGCAAGGAAGGAAGGAAGUCAGGCGGCAUUUCCCGGCGAGCCUUCGGGUACCAGGACACCGCUCAGGUGGGAGGGGAGGGUAGUCGGGGUGGGGGCCCGGGGCGGGGAGGGGGUACCAGUGGGGGGAGGGGGCUCACGUGCGACAAUUUGUCAGUGUGGGGCUCAACAAUGAAUUGCAGUUUAUCGACAAGCGCGCACAAAGCUCCGAAGGCUACAACAAAAGCUCAAUAAAAGUGAGCGAUAGCCACGCUGAGAUGUUAGUUCUCUCUAAUUUCCUGUAAUAGACUUCUGUAUGCUGCAGAAUUUAAUUUAAACCGGACGGGCUGAGACUGGAGUAUGUUAGUCCCCCUUUCCCUGCCUCUCCCCGUCUCUGCCUGUCUCUUCCUCUGAAGUGUCGCGAUGCCGCGAAGAGCCCCGCAACAUCUAGCUGCAGCUGCGAUGCGAUACGCAAAAUCACAAGACGGAAAUCAAUCUGUUGCUUAAUACGCAAUCUUGCUUUGAACGCAGAAACAACAAGAUUGUGAAAUGGCA